ACCGUAAGAUCAUGAUGAUGAUGAUGAUGAUGAUGAUGUGUACUACACAUAUGAUGAGCCCUACAUCACCAUAAUCAUCAUCAUUGUCAUCAUCACAU
This 98-nucleotide microRNA precursor is filed under the name Bigelowiella natans CCMP2755. RNAcentral describes it as "miRNA EPrBNAG00000013212". Lineage: Eukaryota; Cercozoa; Chlorarachniophyceae. The record is from RNAcentral.